CCUACGGGAGGCAGCAGUGAGGAAUAUUGGUCAAUGGGCGGGAGCCUGAACCAGCCAAGUCGCGUGAGGGAAGACGGUCCUAUGGAUUGUAAACCUCUUUAGGCGGGGAGCAAUGCCGGGCACGCGUGCCCGGAGGGAGAGUACCCGCAGAAUAAGCAUCGGCUAACUCCGUGCCAGCAGCCGCGGUAAUACGGAGUAUGCGAGCGUUAUCCGGAUUUAUUGGGUUUAAGGGGUGCGGAGGCGGAUUUUUAAGUCAGCGGUAAAAUGGCCGGGCUCAACCCGGGCCGGCGGUUGAAACUGGGGGUCUAGAGUGAGCGAGAGGGAUGCGGAAUGCGUGGUGGAGCGGUGAAAUGCAUAGAUAUCGCGCAGAAC
This 372-nucleotide ribosomal RNA is filed under the name uncultured bacterium. RNAcentral describes it as "partial 16S ribosomal RNA". It matches the Rfam family "Bacterial small subunit ribosomal RNA", at positions 338 to 707 of the family's 1533-position model. The record is from RNAcentral.